This 319-nucleotide ribosomal RNA is filed under the name uncultured eukaryote. RNAcentral's name for it is "partial 18S ribosomal RNA". It matches the Rfam family "Eukaryotic small subunit ribosomal RNA", at positions 1470 to 1796 of the family's 1831-position model. The record is from RNAcentral.
CCCUUAGAUGUCCUGGGCCGCACGCGUGCUACACUGACGCCUACAGCGAGUACUUCCCAGCCCCGAGAGGUGGCUGGUAAUCAGCAAUAGGCGUCGUGAUGGGGAUAGAUCUUUGGAAUUAUGGAUCUUGAACGAGGAAUGCCUAGUAAGCGCAGGUCAUUAGCCUGCGCUGAUUAAGUCCCUGCCCUUUGUACACACCGCCCGUCGCUCCUACCGAUUUCGAGUGAUCCGGUGAAUCUUUCGGACUGCGCGCGGCCUCGUGCCGUGUCGCGGAAAGUCAGGUAAACCUUAUCACUUAGAGGAAGGAGAAGUCGUAACA